This 1337-nucleotide ribosomal RNA is filed under the name uncultured bacterium. Its description in RNAcentral is "bacterial SSU rRNA". It matches the Rfam family "Bacterial small subunit ribosomal RNA", at positions 28 to 1381 of the family's 1533-position model. The record is from RNAcentral.
GACGAACGCUGGCGGCGUGCUUAACACAUGCAAGUCGAACGGAAAGGCCCUUCGGGGUACUCGAGUGGCGAACGGGUGAGUAACACGUGGGUGAUCUGCCCUGCACUUUGGGAUAAGCCUGGGAAACUGGGUCUAAUACCGAAUAGGACCACGCGCUUCAUGGUGUGUGGUGGAAAGCUUUUGCGGUGUGGGAUGGGCCCGCGGCCUAUCAGCUUGUUGGUGGGGUAAUGGCCUACCAAGGCGACGACGGGUAGCCGGCCUGAGAGGGUGACCGGCCACACUGGGACUGAGAUACGGCCCAGGCUCCUACGGGAGGCAGCAGUGGGGAAUAUUGCACAAUGGGCGCAAGCCUGAUGCAGCGACACCGCGUGAGGGAUGACGGCCUUCGGGUUGUAAACCUCUUUCAAUAGGGACGAAGCGUGAGUGACGGUACCUAUAGAAGAAGCACCGGCCAACUACGUGCCAGCAGCCGCGGUAAUACGUAGGGUGCGAGCGUUGUCCGGAAUUACUGGGCGUAAAGAGCUCGUAGGUGGUUUGUCGCGUUGUUCGUGAAAACUCACAGCUUAACUGUGGGCGUGCGGGCGAUACGGGCAGACUAGAGUACUGCAGGGGAGACUGGAAUUCCUGGUGUAGCGGUGGAAUGCGCAGAUAUCAGGAGGAACACCGGUGGCGAAGGCGGGUCUCUGGGCAGUAACUGACGCUGAGGAGCGAAAGCGUGGGGAGCGAACAGGAUUAGAUACCCUGGUAGUCCACGCCGUAAACGGUGGGUACUAGGUGUGGGUUCCUUCCUUGGGAUCCGUGCCGUAGCUAACGCAUUAAGUACCCCGCCUGGGGAGUACGGCCGCAAGGCUAAAACUCAAAGGAAUUGACGGGGGCCCGCACAAGCGGCGGAGCAUGUGGAUUAAUUCGAUGCAACGCGAAGAACCUUACCUGGGUUUGACAUGCACAGGACGCCGGCAGAGAUGUCGGUUCCCUUGUGGCCUGUGUGCAGGUGGUGCAUGGCUGUCGUCAGCUCGUGUCGUGAGAUGUUGGGUUAAGUCCCGCAACGAGCGCAACCCUUGUCCUAUGUUGCCAGCGGGUUAUGCCGGGGACUCGUAGGAGACUGCCGGGGUCAACUCGGAGGAAGGUGGGGAUGACGUCAAGUCAUCAUGCCCCUUAUGUCCAGGGCUUCACACAUGCUACAAUGGCCGGUACAAAGGGCUGCGAUGCCGUGAGGUGGAGCGAAUCCUUUCAAAGCCGGUCUCAGUUCGGAUCGGGGUCUGCAACUCGACCCCGUGAAGUCGGAGUCGCUAGUAAUCGCAGAUCAGCAACGCUGCGGUGAAUACGUUCCCGGGCCU